AGUGGUAGACAUCGAGCAAACAUGAAGAUUUAUCGUAGAAUAUGUUAGCACAAUUGGGUCUGAUUAAAUUUAAAUAGCUAAUGAUUUAUUUGAACAUCUCUUGCAUACAUAUGUGAGACCGUUAUAAAGCAGGAAAUUAAAAAAUAUGAUUUUACUAAGAAUAAUCAUGUUUACUUUUUAGUUGCAUGAAAACUGAAUUGGAUAAGCAGACAAAUUAAAUAGGUGGAUGGGCCUCAAAGCAUCAGAGGAAACUAUAAAAUGAGCAACACUUCUAACCUUCUGCGUCUCCCUUUACAGACAUCUCGGCCUCUUCCUUCCAUCAGUUAGCCGUCACCCUAUUUCCAGAUUUGAGGUACCAGUACCAUGGGUGACUUCCAGGCCAAGCUCUCUCAACACUUCCAGGUUUAACAUAUUCAGAUGUUGGAGGGUGGCAAAUUGAAGCACCGCCCCGCCCCGAGCAGCACGAACUCCAGCUACGCCACUGGGUUUUAGCUCAACUCAAAGGCACUGCCAUUUUUGAAAUGUUUUUUGUAGUAUUACCAAAGAAAUGUACUGUAAAUGCACCAGUGAAAUAAAAUAAAGGGUCAGUAGUGGCAUUUAAUAUCAUGCAUAUCAAGCUGUCAACAUACCGUAGCCCAAUGAGCAGCAGCUCUAGCACUGGAAAUACUCCUGGGUCUGCAGGUGGGAGGAAGGAAGGCAACACUCGGCAGGAGGAGGGCAGUGCUGUGGUGAGAGGAGAGAGUAAUUGUGGAAAAGAGAAAAUCUGUGCGUGGUACUUGCGUCCACUUCUGGAGGUACUGUGUUGAAUAAACACCCAUUUAUUUGACCCCAGGACUCUGUGUGUAUUCUUGUUUGAGGUGUGAGGCUUGCUGAAGGCCAGGAUACAUCAAUUUAUAUAUAAAUUGUGAAAAUUACCUUUUUUAAUUAAGCCUUGUUUCAGAUAGGUACAUUACAGAGAAAGCUAACAAUAUGAUAGUGUGAUGGACGGCCGGGGAUCCUGUCCGGAUGGGACGCCCUUUCCAGGAGAAGACUGGUGGAAUGGGCAUGCUGUCAGGAGUACCUUCCCUGGGACAUGAGAGGGCAGCACCCUGGGUUUACA
Molecule: long non-coding RNA, 1099 nt
Organism: Polypterus senegalus (gray bichir)
Lineage: Eukaryota; Metazoa; Chordata; Cladistia; Polypteriformes; Polypteridae
Exons: 5
Source: RefSeq, a predicted model, not a curated record